This 46-nucleotide non-coding RNA is filed under the name Schistosoma curassoni. Lineage: Eukaryota; Metazoa; Platyhelminthes; Trematoda; Strigeidida; Schistosomatidae. The record is from RNAcentral.
GCACUACUGAGGAGUCCCACAAUAGGACGAAACAGCUGUUCAGUGC